RNAcentral lists this ribosomal RNA (492 nucleotides) under uncultured bacterium. RNAcentral's name for it is "partial 16S ribosomal RNA". It matches the Rfam family "Bacterial small subunit ribosomal RNA", at positions 29 to 507 of the family's 1533-position model. The record is from RNAcentral.
AGUGAACGCUGGCGGUAGGCCUAACACAUGCAAGUCGAACGGCAGCACAGUAAGAGCUUGCUCUUACGGGUGGCGAGUGGCGGACGGGUGAGGAAUACAUCGGAUUCUACUUUUUCGUGGGGGAUAACGUAGGGAAACAUAUGCUAAUACCGCAUACGACCUACGGGUGAAAGCAGGGGUUCUUCGGACCUUGCGCGAUUGAAUGAGCCGAUUUCGGAUUAGCUAGUUGGUGGGGUAAAGGCCCACCAAGGCGACGAUCCGUAGCUGGUCUGAGAGGAUGAUCAGCCACACUGGAACUGAGACACGGUCCAGACUCCUACGGGAGGCAGCAGUGGGGAAUCUUUGACAAUGGGCGAAAGCCUGAUGCAGCCAGACCGCGUGGGUGAAGAAGGUCUUCGGGUUGUAGAGCCCUUUUAUUAGGAAAGAAAAGCUGCGUAAUUAUACCUGGACGUCCUGACGGUACCCAACGAGAAAGCAACGGCUAACUACGUG